UUGUCACCCACCAUGAGGUUGCUGGGAAUUGAACUUAGGACCUCUGGAAGAGCAUCUAGUUCUCUUAACCACUGAGCCAUCUCUCCAGUCCUUGUGGAGGUUUUAAAGAAUCUCAGAAUUUUGAUUGUACACAAUGGAACUAGGAACAUGGUCCUGGACCAACACGAGUGGAGAAGAGCCUCUUGCUGGCUUGUGUCUGCCUGUGGGGAAGGAGGAUGUGCACUGCCCUGGAACUUCCUGACACCCUCACAUCACUUACCGAGAGCUGAACAGAGAAGGCACCGUGUGUUAUCCUUCUUCUCAGUAACCUAGCAUGGGGCUAUGGACCUCAAAAGAGGUUUAUAAACACAUGCAGGCUGAUUGAUGGGGACCAUUCCUUCAGAGAUGAACUAUGGGAAACUCCCAUGUUUUUUCACUUAUCCAUGUCUGAGCAUCUAUAGCAGCAACCUGUGCAUGUCCAUUACUUUCCUCCUUUGACACAACAGUGAGCAGCCAUCUUGGCUUGUGGUUGAAGUGUAUGAAGCAGCAGAAGACAACGCUUGUUCACAGGCUUUUCAAGGAACAGCCUCCUACACCCCUUUUCUAGCCAAUCCUGAAACAGCUCUCAAUAAUUCAACAAAUAUGUUCACGUGUUCCCUUUUCAAAACAGUGAUUUAAAAGGUUGCAUUGAUUUGUUUCAGACUUUAAGAAAAACCUAGACUAACCAGUCGUUGCAUAGCCCAGUUCCAAUUGGUGACAAUCCCCUUACUCUUGGCAAGACCCCAUCAUGAGUUCCCUGAAGUCACUAUAUAUGCCAGACAGUUGAACAAAGCUACCAUCUCAUCAGGAGCCUGCUGUGACGAACCCUGUCCUCAACUGUAACACACCUCCCAAGCUGCUUUGUUAAAUACAGCCAACCCAAACAAAGGGGACACUCCAGUGGCCAACUGGCCUACUCCCUUAUGCUCACUUGGCCAGAAACUGAAAACAUACUCACACGUGCCCUGCAGUUACAUGAUUCCAGGGGCCAAAUGCCACUGCAGAGUUUGUGCCUUCCAGUGUUGGGCUCAGUUCAUAACGGCUCAAGACUGUAGUGGAACUGCCAUCGUGAUAGUCAAAUCUUAACCCAUCUCCAGGUGGCGUUAACUUUAUGAAAAAAGAAUGAAAUCUAACAUGACCCAAAUAAAUCGCACCCCAUUUGAAAUAAAAAAAAUCA
Molecule: long non-coding RNA, 1195 nt
Filed under: Mus spicilegus (steppe mouse)
Lineage: Eukaryota; Metazoa; Chordata; Mammalia; Rodentia; Muridae
Description: lncRNA (ENSMSIG00000028095.1)
Source: RNAcentral